AGUGAACGCUGGCGGUAGGCCUAACACAUGCAAGUCGAACGGCAGCACAGUAAGAGCUUGCUCUUACGGGUGGCGAGUGGCGGACGGGUGAGGAAUACAUCGGAAUCUACUUUUUCGUGGGGGAUAACGUAGGGAAACUUACGCUAAUACCGCAUACGACCUACGGGGGAAAGCAGGGAAUCUUCGGACCUUGCGCGAUUGAAUGAGCCGAUGUCGGAUUAGCUAGUUGGCGGGGUAAAGGCCCACCAAGGCGACGAUCCGUAGCUGGUCUGAGAGGAUGAUCAGCCACACUGGAACUGAGACACGGUCCAGACUCCUACGGGAGGCAGCAGUGGGGAAUAUUGGACAAUGGGCGCAAGCCUGAUCCAGCCAUACCGCGUGGGUGAAGAAGGCCUUCGGGUUGUAAAGCCCUUUUGUUGGGAAAGAAAAGCAGCAGGUUAAUACCCCGCUGUUCUGACGGUACCCAAAGAAUAAGCACCGGCUAACUUCGUG
Molecule: ribosomal RNA, 492 nt
Filed under: uncultured bacterium
Lineage: Bacteria
Description: partial 16S ribosomal RNA
Rfam family: Bacterial small subunit ribosomal RNA
Source: RNAcentral